GCGGCCGCCCCGCCGGCCCCGCAGGCCGAAAACGAGUCUGAAAGAGCCGCACGGGAACAAAAAGACAAGAAACUGAAGCCACAAAUGGUGUUUAAGCUCAGGGCUGGGAGAGGCAGAGCCUCCACACCACGUUAAAUGGGAGUGCUCCGGGCUGCCGAGCGGGAAAGGCCCCAGGCCUUAAAAUGCUGCUCACAAGAGGCUGGCAAACGAUAAAUGUCUUCAUAUCAUCGUGUGAGGAGAGACUGCGGGAGCUGGGCCUGACGGGACCUCACAUAAACCAGGCAGGAGCGGUGUCACCAAAAUGGAAUAAUUUCCCACCAGAACUCAUACUGAAACCCUAAUUAAUAUUGAAAAGUCUGUGCUGUGCCGUGUCUUCACAUCCCUGGAAUUUGGGUAAGGAAGCUGGAUCAGUCAGAACAGUUUAAAGCACGUUUACACACAGCCAGUGCUUUCACCACACCUAUGCUUUUGUAAAAACACAACUGUUGCAAUACUUCCUGUUUCUGUUCCAGUGACUUCAGAACAUCUCACUCUGCAGUGAGGAGUUUGAUUGAUGCCCAGUUGCACUGCUGUUGUGGGGAGGGAUGCUGAGGGUUGGAAAUGUUUACAGAGGGGGGUUCUUCCAGGUGGGCUGCCUGGGCUUUGGAUUUUUGUAAACCUCACUGGACAAAUCAGUUUUGCUGCACUUUAAAACCUGCCAGAGGAAUCCCUCAUUCCUGUGUGCAACAAGGUGGUUUAUUCUGCUGUCCUCAUAUAAUCCUGUGCUGGAAGCUGCUGCACAGGCAUUAUUUUUAUUUUUUAAAUGUCUUUUUCAUUUUGAAUCCUAUUUUUUCACGCAGAUCCAUGAACUACCAUGGUUUGUACUGUUCAGUGGAUGAAUGUGCAAAUCACCAGAAUUAAGUGGACUUACCAUAUAUAAAUUUAUCUCUUUCUAUACACUGCAAAAAUAUUGUUUAAAACGAAAAGUUGAGCUGAAAACACCUGUGAAUACUUGAAGAUCUGGGGUGGAUAAUCAAUAAAACCAAUUUUAAUGUUUUUUUGUUAGUCCACUUUGAAGUUACAGUUCUGGCCCUGGGUUAGAGCUACAGAAAGCCUCUUGUAGAAAGGUUGCUCCACAGUUCUCCAUUGCAAAAUUUCUUGCACCUUUUUCUCAAUCAGCUGACAUUAACCCCUUUGUAGGGAGCAUCCUGAGUUAGGUGAAGCUUUGGGCAGUUUCACUUCUUAAAGUAAUUCAUUUUUGCAUGCAAAUACCAUUGUUAUAAUCAAAAUUUACAUGUUGUUAUUGUGUGAUUCUUAUGGUAAAAUGUUCCUGGGCUCUGACAGAAUAACUGUCACCAAACAGGUAUAAACUGUUUAUAAUUUUC
This is a long non-coding RNA of Motacilla alba alba, 1364 nucleotides long. RefSeq lists it as uncharacterized. The record is from RefSeq and is a predicted model, not a curated record. Lineage: Eukaryota; Metazoa; Chordata; Aves; Passeriformes; Motacillidae. The transcript is spliced from 3 exons.